GCCGUAGUUGCAGUUAAAAAGCUCGUAGUUGAAAUGAAGGGUAGUUGUGUAAUGAACACAUUCGUGUAUUUUGUUAUUCAAGUACCCCCCYUCUAAAUUCGAUAUAUGAGUAUUAAUUUACUUGUAUAUGGUUUUAGACAUUUACUGUGAGAAAAUUAGAGUGUUCAAAGCAGGCAUUUGCUUGAAUAUAUUAGCAUGGAAUAAUCAUGUAUGAUUUUCAUGAUGUAUUUGAUUGGUUUGGUUGAUGAGAAUAAGAUUAAAAGGGACAGUUGGGGGUAUUCAUAUUCAAUAGUCAGAGGUGAAAUUCUCGGAUUUAUGGAAGAUG
This 325-nucleotide ribosomal RNA is filed under the name Blastocystis sp. subtype 3. Its description in RNAcentral is "SSU rRNA". It matches the Rfam family "Eukaryotic small subunit ribosomal RNA", at positions 610 to 948 of the family's 1831-position model. The record is from RNAcentral. Lineage: Eukaryota; Bigyra; Opalinata; Blastocystidae.